AUCUAUCGUCAUACGAUUUCUCGAUCAUAAUCGCAUCUCGUAAAUAAUACAUCUCUCUUAAAGCAUGUUCUAAGAAGAAGGAAGAAAAAGAAAACGAAGAAGGAAGCUGUUUUAUCUUUUACACAAGAGUUCAAUGAUCAACUAUGAAACGUAACUUCGUGACGACUUUUCCAAUGAAGAAUAAUGUUAUUUUUGUAUUUUUUGAUUUUCUUAUAUUUUAUUUUUGCGUUCUCUCUUUUCUUUUCUCCUCUUUUUUCUUUUUCCUUUAGAACUGGGGUUACGAAAUGGAGAUGUAUGUUUUAAGAGAAAAGAAAAAGGAAUAAAUAAUUGCCCUUUUCUCGAUUUGUUCUAACCGAUGACACAAUACCUACUUCAAACAAUAGAUACCUUCAUAGACAAUAGUUAAUAAGCUACUAGAGGCUAGUUCGAAGUUUCAAAACUCGAUAGUAUAAAACGAUGCGCUUGACCUGCUUUAACGUACAGACUCUAGGUACGGUUUAGGAAUAAAAGAUGCCUGAGACGGAUCAGAUUCUAGACAAAUUGGUUUACGUUUGUUUAGGUCGAAAUAAAUUUUACUAAGAUAAGUGAUAUGUAUAUAAUAUAUAUAUAUAUAUUAUUUUAUUAAUAUAUUUUAUUAAUACGUAUGCAUUGUACUUUUAGAGAAAUUAUCUCGCAUAGUAUAAGUAAUAAUAAUUGUAAAAAAAUUUACAUAUUUAUAUAGAUAUAUGUAUCGUGCAACUACAUUAAUUCAUUACAUAUUUUUAGAUAUUCAUAAUUAAUCAUUGAAUUGAGUUCUGUUGUCGUAGGCGAAAGAAUAUUAUAUGUAAAUUAAAUUACAUUACACCCGACAAUUGAGUUUUUUAAAAUUAUAUCAGAUACGUAUAAAUAUUAAUAAUGAAUAAUUAAAACGAGAGAGUAUUGGUGUUAUCGUUGAAAUAGAACAUUUUUAAUCGACGACGACAAACCGAAGUAUAUAUGAGAAAUAAAAAAAAAUAUUAAUUGGCUAACUUUCUUACUCGUUCAUAGAAUAACUAAACUAUCGUAAAGAAAAUAUUUUAACGCCAAAGAAUACUUAAAAUCUUGCUUAUACAUAUCUCGUAGAAGUCGUUUCAUGCAUAUGUAUAUAUAUACCGUUUCGAAACUUUAGGAACACGAGAGUAUGGGUUUUGUCGUGAUAUAAUAGAAAUCUUUAAAGUGAUUUACGCAUAAAUCUUGAAAAAUGAAGACGCGUUAGUGUCAACUAACAAGCAAAAUACAAAUUUUCCAUUGACUUCUCGCGACGAAGAUAUCCAAACAGCCUUGAGACGCUUGAGAAGUUUUUCUAGCGGAGCAACCAACACACAUUGGGUAUUCGAUAUCGAGGUUAAAGAAACGAUUCAUACAUCAAGGUCGUAUUUCGAAUGAAAGAAAAGAGAAAAAAUUUUUUUAAAUAAAAAUUUCGGACUACGAGUGGUAAAAAAGUUCUUAGACAAAAAUCAAUCGCACUAUUUUCUUUUCUUUUUUUUUUUUCAGAAAAUUUUUAAUUUUUCUUUUCUCUUUCGAACUACAAGCCUGACUGAAUGCUCGUAAGGUUUCGAAAAAGAAUAAUUAUUGAUAUUUCUUUUUUUUUCUUUUUUUUUUCAAGUAUGGAUAAUAUCUGAAUAUGAUAGUAUCUAUUAUAAAAUGAAAUUUUUGGAAAAUUAUUUCGAUAGCGACAUUUUCUAUGCGAUAGCAGUGCGCUUGUGAGCCCUGAAAGUCUAUAAGCCGCCGAAGAGUAUUUUUGUCCGUGGAUAUUAUCGAUUGCAUAUACCCUGCUGCUCCACUCUCUCUCUUUCUCUCUUUCUCUCUCUUUCUCUCUCUCUUUCUCUCCCACCCACGUCUUUUCCUCUCCGACUUUUUUUCUUUCUUUUCCACGCUUUGUAUACAGGCCUCCAAGACAGGCUCCAAGACAGACCGAUCGACGUACUUACUCUCUUUAGUUUCAAAGAUAACAUGUGCGUUUCAUAAUUUCUUAGCAUUACCAUAUGCUUUCAUUUAAUCUAUACGAAAUAAUUAUAUAUUUAUGAGAGAGAAAUAAAAAUAGAAAGAUAGAAAGAUAGAUAGAUAGAAAGAGAGGAGGGAGAGAAAACAAAGGCAAAAAUUAAAAAAAGAAAAAAAAAAAAAAGAAAAAUUCUUCACAUUCCUCGAUUUACGUAAAUUCGUUUAUGUAAACGAAUCGACUGAUACGAAUCAAAGAAUAACAAACGCAAAGAACUUACACGCGCACACGACGCACAGGCGCACGCAAAACGCACAUUUAUCGUUUUUCAUGAAUGAAAAAUCAUGAAGGUCAGAAAGAAAGAAUUAUAAUUAUAAAAUAUCGAUCGAUCAUGCAAUGUCGAUAAAGCGAUAUCGGUAUGACCGAUUCCCGUUGAUCGAAAUCGGUCGGAAGAGGCGACGAUCUCUCGUUGGCUCGGUAUCAAGCGUCGUACGAAAAGACGGCAGCCCUGUCCUCCUUUUUGUGCCUGUUCAAAAGAUAAUACUUGGAUAUUCCAGGCAGAAGAGAGUAAAAGCUUCUUUAGAGGAAGAUCCACUGGAAUUUCAGCGAUUCGUUGCUACUUGACCGCAUCGCCGACCUAUAAAUAGUCGAAAUAAUCACGUGACCCUCUCGCAUACCGGAUUGCACACGUGGACAUAAAUAAAUAGCACCUUUCAACCUUACGUCGUACUUUCAAAUUGCGAUCGACGCCGAUCGAGAGCCCUCCUCUUUUUCCUCCUCCUCCUCCUCCUCUUCUUUUUCCAUCUCUUCUUCCACCUUCUUCUCUUCCUCAUCUUCUCUCUUAACACUUCCCUUCCAACUCCUACCGCAGCUUCUAUCGAUGUUCAAAAUUACGUCAAUGCCUAUCGAUCUUCCCUUUAAUCCUCCCCUCUCUACCAAACCUACCGAGUCGACUUUUAGUUCCUUUCUCAUUCCAUUGCAACGAACUAAUUCAGAGAUAGUUUCUCAAUGAGAUGGUUAGCUAACCGCAAAAAUUCGUUUCGUUGACUCUGUGAUUGAAUCGUAUACGAAGGAUAAAUUGUAUUUUGAAUACCUAUUGUUUAAUUGUUAUAAUGGUUGAAUGGUUUUCUAGAUCUAUAUUGGUUCUUUUAUUGGAUUUGUUAUUUAUUGAUGGGAUUCGAUAUUUAUUUAAGGUGUUUUCGUUUAAAAUACUUGCUGAUGAUUCAUAUAUAGAUGUAUGUAUAUAUAUACAUACAUAUAUAUAUAUAUCUUUUUGCUGUUAAUCCAUGAACAUAGACAUAAAUAAAAAUUUCUAUUCUUCGUAUAGUUCGAUAAAAAUUCUUUCUCUUUCUUUUCUUAGCUCGUCUUCUAAGUUCUCAUUUGAAAAUCUUUAAAAGCUUUAAGCUUUCAGCUUUGAUCCUAAUAGUUGCUAAAAGCGUCGUCCAUCGACAGUCAAAAUAAAAAGGAUUAUCGGAUCUUUUUUCCAGAUCUAUUUUUUUUUAGUUAUCACAGAAAGAGGAUUAUCGUGCGGAGAACUCGAUAUCAAUAUGAAUCGUCGUCGAAGAAUAUUUUAUUUUUUCCUUGGUACCUAUAUCAUUUUUUCUUUUUUUUUUUUUAGUUUAAUCGUCGAAUGAUCGAUAAAAUAUAAUAUCUAUCGCUAUUCAGUCAUCCCGAGAUCGAAGGGGGGAGCGUCUCGCAAAGUGAAGAUUACACUUUGAGAAUGAAGAACCUAACGGCAACUUGGCACCAAAAUGGCGGAGAAGUACACCCCCGAAUGACGUCAUAGGAAAACGGCGUGGCGCCAGCGCAGCCCUCGGACUGACGUCAACUCGCACCGAUUCUACUACUAUUCUCUGCUAGCUACGAAACGAAGCCCGUUGGCCCGGCAACUUUCGCAAACUUUCCUUCGUAUGUUUAUCUGUGUACACUAUUACUAUUACAUAAUAUAUAGAAAAUAGGUGGAUAAUAAUGGAUAAAGCGUAGACAAUGGCAAUUACUUAAAUCGUGCUCGAAUAAUUUUGUCGCGUUGUAACGAUCGAUUCGUUCGAUUCCAUCCUUUCUUUUUCCUCUUUUGAAUAUUUUCUUUUCAUCGUCAUUUUCAUUCUAUUCGCUCUCUUUAUCGAAUUUUGAGAAAAAAAUUGUUUGAUUUUAAGAAUGAACUUUAUGCCGAAAUCUUUUAUUAUUAUUUAUUAUAUAAUUUUAUCAUAGAUAAUUUUCAUGGCAGCUCUGUUUUCGUGUAGAUUAUAUAAAAUAUUAUAUAAAAAUAUAUAGAAGUAAGAAAAAAAUUAGAGAGAGAGAGAGAGAGAGAGAAAGAACGAAUAUCAUUUAUUAUAAAAAUAUGUCAAAUAUAUCGUGACGGUUUAAUGGGCAUAAAUUUUUCACACAAAUUAAUCGAAAAAAAAAGAGCCAAGAACUAAGAUAAAAGAGAUAUUUUUAAUAUACUUCUUCUUCGAUAACGACACGUGUUCGCUAUUACAAACACUCUAAAUGAAUGUGUUCAACUUGUAAAUCAAAUUUAUUGGAAUUUCCGAUACUACAUCAUAAGUUAUAACAAUAACUUUAAAACUUUUCCUGUAUACAUAUUUACAUACUUAUUAGAGUACAUAGAUGUAUAAACUUAUUAUAUACACACAUACACACGUAUACACACGUAUAUCUGUUCUCGUUUACGUCUCUACGUUGGGCUUACGUCCACAGGCCGUUAUCUAUACGAUUCAUUGUCAGCGAUGCGUAGCAACGAGCUUAUGGACGGAUCUCUCUUUUUAUUGUCGCGAGAAUGACGUCAAUGCUCUCUAAUCUUGGCACUCACUUCCGAAAAUUAUAAUGCCCGCAUCGGUGUGGCCUCUGCGAUGUUCAUCGGCUCUGCUUCUGAAUGAUUAUUCGUUUCCUGAUUUCGACCCUCACAUCUUUUUCGAGUGAUACGACCGUUCCAUAUUUUAUAUACAUAUAUCUAUCUAUAUACAUACGUACAUACAUAUAUAUACACAUUUUUGUACACGUGUGUGUGGAUAUAUACAUAUGUAGAUAUACGUAUCUAUAUCUAAAUAUUCAAAAGGGAAUUUUCUGGUAUUAGUUUGCUCUCGAGAUAUCAACGAGCUUUUGAAAGAAGGAAAUAUUAUGUCUUUCAAUGUUACUAUGCCGAUUGGAAGAGGAGACCCUUCUUUUACUUAUAUCCUCUAAGAUACGAGUAUUCAAACGUUAUAUUUAGUCAGAUAUCUUCCAUGUGACGUUAAUAAUAUUAUUUUCUUAUUUAUCUCUUUGUUUACGAUAUAUUUACUUUUCGUUCGUCCACAUUGAUUAGAUGUAUAUAUGUAUGUACAUAUGUACGUAGAUCUUAUUCAGAUUGGAUCUACUAUUGCAUAAUCCUCGAUUUCUCGAGACGUUGUCCGACGAAUCUCUUGGCUACGUCUCAAAUAUGAACAAAAGCGAUUGCCCGGAGAGCUCUGACGACGAUCGAUAAAAAAUCGUAAUAAUAUUUACAUUGUUAUAUCGAAAUAAAUCAAAAUAAUAAAAAUUGAACGAAGGAAAUGAAAUGAAAGUGUGUGUGUGUGUGUGUGUAUGCGUGUGUACACUCUCUACUAACUUAAUAUAAAUUAAUUUGUAAUGUUAUUACUUGCGUCAUCCGUUUCGAAUUUUUUUUUUUAAUGACGCAAACCCUAAUGGGUCGUAACGGGUUGAAGCACAUAGCGUUGCAACGUUAGAAGCGUCAUCGUACCAAAGUUUCCUUUAUCGAUUCGAACGAAGCCGACGACGUUUAGCUAGAGUCGAGGAAGAUUACGUAACUGGUCUAAACCAAGGUCGAAGGGUAAAACAACGAGAGCUCUUUGCAAUCGGAAGGUCUCCUUUUCCUCUCUCAUAUAUGCAAUUAUUUUAAUGCAAAUUAUGUAUCUCAUUUUUUUUCUCUUCCUUUUUCUUCAUUUUUUUUUUCUAACGAAAAAAAAUCGACGAAUCUUUAAAAUUACGUAAAAAGGACAAUGGCGAUUUUAAUAUAAAGUUAUGGUUUUUUUUUUUUUUAGAAAUAUUAUUUUAACUUUAUUAUAGAUGUAUAUGCAGUAAAUGUUAUGAAAUAUGUGUCGUAAUAUAUAUUGUGUCAAAAUUUUUCUUUCCUUUCUUUUUUUUAUUCAAUUAAUUAUUUUCUAUCUUAAUUUUUACAUGCAUUAGAAAAGAAUAGAAAAGAAGGCAAAGUCGUUUAAUUAUUUGAUUCAUAAUAAGAUAUUUAUUAACAUUAUUAUAAAUAACAUAAACGUUAUCUGACAAUAAGUAUGAAAUAUUUAGCAUUGUACAUAGAUCGUCGAGCGGUUAUAUAAAUUUUGCUAUAAAAAAAACUAUUUGUAAGAAUUUCAAUCUAUAUUCGUUAUUUCUAUUACAUCUUGUUUAUUCGUACUUGAGUACCUAUAAUGCAGCGUGUCGUUAUGUCGCAUUCUAUGCUUCUUUAACGCGCGAGUCCAAUUAUAAUAUAUUUAUGAGAAUAAAACAUUUUUGUGUUUGGUAUGUAAGUAUAUGUUUUUAAACAUAUUUCUAAAUAUUUCUAAUAUUAUGUAUAUCCCUUUUGUCGUUGUUACAUCUUUCGAUUAAUCUAUAUGAAAAACUAAUUGUAAUCGUUGCCACGACGUGCAGCAUUUUGUUUUUUCUUCUUCUUCUUUUUUUUUACGUUUUUUCUUUUUAUAUAUGUAUAUUCGUAUAAUAAAUUAAUACUAAAAAUUGCCUUAUAUAUUAGCGACAGGUCAAAAAUGUAAUAUUUCGAUUAAACGUCCAAUGAAAAAUAUUUUUGACUCGUCCACGAUCCUCUAACGAGUGUAUAGAAAACGCGAGGAUAAAUAAAUAAGGGAAUAUAAAAAAGAAAAAAAAAAGUUGAAAUUUUAAUAUAAUAAAAAUCCCACAAUGAUAUUCCCCACUUUCGUCGUUAAGUUGCCACGUUCGACGAUAUUAUUUAACAAUUUAAUUUUAUCGUACAAAUUUUUCCUUCCAAAUCGAUGCCAAGGACCGCCGAUAUCAUUGAUGUUGCUGACACCAGUGAUUCAGGUCGAUUAUUAUAAUUACGAUCGGUCGAACGUUGCAUUAGAUGUAUCCUGCGCGUUCCCCCUCUAACAUUCUUAUUACACGCACGCACACGUACAUAUGUAUGUAAUGUAUCGGAUAUGAAAUAAAUAGAUAUGCGAAUGAUAUGUAUGUAUGUUUUCGAAUUGACGAUACGAUUUGAAAUGAUAAUAAUAAUAAUAAUAAUAAUAACAAUAAAUUAUAUUUUGUCAUUUUUUGUUGCAUCUUUUUUCGAAUAAUUUGUUCAAUUGAUUUAUAUAUAUAUAUAUAUAUAUAUAUAUGUAUGUAUGUAUGUAUAUGCAUAUAUGUAUAUAUAAUAUAUUCGAUUACUUAACACGUUUGAAUCGAUUAAAAUCGUAUCGUAAAGUCUUAUUAAUUAUGUCAGGAAGAACGAUGAUAUAUGCUGAGAGAAAAUAUGUUAAUCGUAGCACAAAAUAAAAAGUGAAUAUUACGGUAAUAAAGGAACAUGAUCCGGCGUACAGGGUGUUAUUCGCGAUAGAAGAUAGGAAACGACAGAGAGAGAGAGAGAGAGAAAGAGAGAGAGA
Long non-coding RNA from Vespula vulgaris, 7539 nucleotides. RefSeq lists it as uncharacterized. The transcript is spliced from 2 exons. The record is from RefSeq and is a predicted model, not a curated record. NCBI's taxonomy places the organism in Eukaryota, Metazoa, Arthropoda, Insecta, Hymenoptera, Vespidae.